RNAcentral lists this transfer RNA (71 nucleotides) under Meretrix lamarckii (Korean hard clam). RNAcentral's name for it is "tRNA-Ala". The record is from RNAcentral. Lineage: Eukaryota; Metazoa; Mollusca; Bivalvia; Venerida; Veneridae.
GGUGCGGUACUUUAAUUUAAAAGGUUAGGUUUGCAACUUAAAAUUAAGGUGUUGAUAGGCCUUUCGUGCUG